RNAcentral lists this ribosomal RNA (480 nucleotides) under uncultured bacterium. Its description in RNAcentral is "bacterial SSU rRNA". It matches the Rfam family "Bacterial small subunit ribosomal RNA", at positions 353 to 824 of the family's 1533-position model. The record is from RNAcentral.
AGUGAGGAAUAUUGCGCAAUGGGGGCAACCCUGACGCAGCAACGCCGCGUGAGUGAGGAAGGUUUUCGGACCGUAAAGCUCUGUCGAGCGGGAAGAAAUGUAUCAUGGCUAAUAUCCAUGAUGCUUGACGGUACCGCUAGAGGAAGCACCGGCUAACUCCGUGCCAGCAGCCGCGGUAAUACGGGGGGUGCAAGCGUUGUUCGGAAUCAUUGGGCGUAAAGAGCGUGUAGGCGGUUGGACAAGUCAGAUGUGAAAGCCCUGGGCUCAACCCAGGAAGUGCAUUUGAAACUGUUCAGCUAGAGUAAGGGAGAGGAAAGUGGAAUUCCUGGUGUAGAGGUGAAAUUCGUAGAUAUCAGGAGGAACACCGGUGGCGAAGGCGACUUUCUGGCCCUAUACUGACGCUGAGACGCGAGAGCGUGGGUAGCAAACAGGAUUAGAUACCCUGGUAGUCCACGCUGUAAACGAUGUUCACUAGGUGUU